GCCUUUGUAGCUCAGUCGGUAGAGCAGAGGACUGAAAAUCCUCGUGUCGGCGGUUCGAUUCCGUCCGAAGGCACCA
RNAcentral lists this transfer RNA (76 nucleotides) under Oscillospiraceae bacterium. RNAcentral's name for it is "tRNA-Phe". It matches the Rfam family "tRNA". From Rfam's summary of the family: Transfer RNA (tRNA) molecules are approximately 80 nucleotides in length. Their secondary structure includes four short double-helical elements and three loops (D, anti-codon, and T loops). The record is from RNAcentral. Lineage: Bacteria; Bacillati; Bacillota; Clostridia; Eubacteriales; Oscillospiraceae.